RNAcentral lists this ribosomal RNA (305 nucleotides) under uncultured bacterium. RNAcentral describes it as "bacterial SSU rRNA". It matches the Rfam family "Bacterial small subunit ribosomal RNA", at positions 338 to 660 of the family's 1533-position model. The record is from RNAcentral.
CCUACGGGAGGCAGCAGUCGGGAAUAUUGCGCAAUGGAGGAAACUCUGACGCAGUGACGCCGCGUAUAGGAAGAAGGUCUUCGGAUUGUAAACUAUUGUCGUUAGGGAAGAGAAAGGACAGUACCUAAGGAGGAAGCUCCGGCUAACUACGUGCCAGCAGCCGCGGUAAUACGUAGGGAGCGAGCGUUAUCCGGAUUUAUUGGGUUUAAAGGGUGCGUAGGCGGGCUGUUAAGUCAGCGGUAAAAGCCCGGGGCUCAACCCCGGCGAGCCGUUGAAACUGGCUGUCUUGAGAUGUCGAGAGGUAU